Molecule: RNA transcript, 2912 nt
Organism: Xenopus tropicalis (tropical clawed frog)
Lineage: Eukaryota; Metazoa; Chordata; Amphibia; Anura; Pipidae
Gene: mamdc2
Gene name: MAM domain containing 2
Exons: 14
Source: RefSeq, marked provisional
UAGUUAACCACAUAAAUGUUUAAAUUACGCUUAUUUCACAAAGGUAAACUCAGUGGCAAUGACAAGAAGGCAGUUCCCUGGCAUGGGCACAGGCUGGCGGCCAGCAGUGGGCACCUCAGUGGGGGCAGCGUACUAUGUGACAUAUUUGCCGAUGAGGGUGCCAGGUUCCUGUAUCCCAGUUACUUGCCUGGAGACAGAGGCAGCUGAGAACUCUUUUCUCCUCCCCUUGUGAUCUGUCUGUGACCUGCAGCCAUCCCUCUCUUCCACCUCCCCCCCACCCAGUCCGCCCCCACGAAGGGGGACAGCUGGGCUCCAUCCCCUAUCCAUCCAGGAGCGCAGCCCGAAGGCUUUCAGUGCUGCCUGCCCGGUACUCCAAGGGGUAGCUCCUCACAGCGCGGCCAUGAUGCUCUCUCACUGGGUACUGCUGCUGUCUCUGGGAGCUGUACAGUUGGCUGAAGGAGCUGAGAUUUCUCCUGGAUCCUGCACCUUUGAGGACAGCACAUGUGCUUACACCUCAGCCUUCCCGUUUCUCCAGUGGACAGUAAACACUGAAGGUCAUUAUGUUUCUGUGGACUCAUCCAAUGGAUCACGGGGGCAGAAAGCUGUGCUGAUUAGUCCAGAUCUUCAUCUUGCAGAAUGGAGCUGCCUCAGACUGGUGUACCAAAUUGCAGGCUCAGAAUCCUCUCCAAGUCCCAGCAGCCUGAAUGUGUUUGUCAGGCCUGAGGGAGAGAGCUUUGAUUACCUGUUAUGGUCAGCAGAAGAACAUUCAGACAGCUGGCUAAUAUCAAGCAUAGAUUUAAAGAACACAACAAAAAGGUUCAAGAUCAUUCUGGAAGGUGUAUUGGGACUUGAUGCAAUGAGCAGUGUUGCUAUCUUUGAAGUGAAAAUGUCUACUGGUUAUUGCAUUGAGUGUGACUUUGAGGAAAACCAUCUUUGCGGGUACAUGAACAGUUGGAACCCAAAUGUAAACUGGUUUGUUGGAGGAGGCAAUGUCAAGAAUUCUCAUUCUAUUUUGCCAAGAGACCACACACUAAACAAUGAAUUUGGACACUACAUGUAUGUUGAUUCCGUUUAUGUCAAACAUUUUCAAGAAGUUGCCCAGCUGGUCUCUCCACUAAUUACAACACCAAUAUCAGGCUGCCUUUCUUUUUACUAUCAACUUCAGCGUGAGAGUAGUAAUAUAUUUCUGGUACAUACCAGAGAUCUGCAUGGUUCCUAUGAUGAAAUCUGGAAAAUGGGCCUUGUGAGACAAGGAGAAUGGAAUCUAGCAGAAGUUGAUCUAAAUGCGCCUGUCCCAUUAGAGGUUAUUUUUGAAGUCGCCUUUAAUGGUAUCCAAGCAGGCUAUGUUGCCUUGGAUGAUAUAUCAUUUUCCCCAGUAUCCUGCAGUGGACAGCAAGGUAUGUUCUUUGAUGCAAGAGAAGCUGGAUGUGAUUUUGAGGAAAGCAUGUGCCAUUUUCAUCAGGAUGAUAACAAUGGUUCUGGAUGGAGCAGAGUCAAAGUAAAACCCAAUGCAUACCAAAUGGGUGAUCACACAAGUGGACUUGGCUAUUUCAUGAUAGCUAAUACAAGGUUUACAGGGCAACCUGGUUACUUUGGACGGCUCUAUGGUCCUUCUUUGCCUGGAAACAUUCAGUACUGUCUUCGGUUUUUUUAUUCAUUAUAUGGCUUUUACAAAACCACUGACUCCCUGGCUGUUUACAUCUUUGAAGAGAAUCAUGUAGUCCAGGAAAAAAUCUGGUCUGCCCAUGAAACACCCAAAGGUGUCUGGCUGCAAGCUGAAAUCAGCAUACAUAAACCAAUGCCUUUCAAGGUUGUAUUUGUGAGCUGGUGUAAGAGUUUUUGGGACUGUGGCAUUGCAGCAGUUGAUGACAUAUCAGUGAGUAUGGGAAGCUGCCAAAUAUCUGACAGAAUACCACCAUUGCCUGGAAAAUGUACCUUUGAAAAAAAUGAUUGUGGAUUUCAGCAGGAAUGGCAAAGGAGAGGUAUUUGGCACAGGAUACAAGGGAGGACCCCAACAUUCUACACAGGACCAAAUGGUGACCACACCUCUGGGGUUACUACAUGUACAUCGAGGCCACAAACAUGGUGUUUGGACAGAAAGCCAGACUAAUCUCAAAACAACUUCGGGCUUUCACUGGGAAGCAGUGUUUGACAUUUUUUUACCAUAUGUAUGGGGCUGGCACUGGACUGCUAAAUGUAUAUUUGAGCAAGGAAAGUGAUAUAAAUAAGGAUACUCUUCUCUGGACAAGAAAAGGUGAACAGAGUAUCACUUGGCUGAAAGCUCAAAUAGAAUAUGAGAGUGAACAGCAACAUAAGAUUGUCUUCGAAGCUGUACGUGGCAUUUCUAUAAGAAGUGACAUCGGAAUUGAUGAUAUUAUGUUUCAGAAUGGACCUUGUAGUGAUUCUAGUGACCCUCUACAGUCAUCUGGCUAUUCAGACAACUUCAAUGAAAUUGACUUUUAGAUCAUAUGGUUUUUUAGAAGCCAUCCAACAGAACAAACAGCAUUACAGCGUUACAAUAUUCACAAGUUUACAGUUGUUUUAAACUAUAGUUGCUAGCACCACUUUGUUGAGAGUUGUAGUUUACAACAGCUGGAACACCGGGUGUUUAAUAACUGCAGUAGACACUUUAGGAACUGCACAUAAAUGUUCAUAUGGAACUCUGACACAGUUUACUGAUACUUACCACAAACUCAGAACACUCAUGUUCGUCGACAGAGAAUUCUACUCAGGGCUUUUCAAAUGUAUGUUUGCAUGGACUGUCAGUAAUACAUGUGUGCAGCAUUACAGUUGGUCACAAACUCCACUGUAUAGAUAACAAUGUAUUUUUUUAUUCUGAUUCUUUUUUUUUUUGAAGCACAGAUAACAACCCACAAAGAUUGUAAUAAAUGUUUGGAAAAUAUGUAAAUGAA